UAGAGUUUGAUCCUGGCUCAGGAUGAACGCUGGCGGCGUGCCUAACACAUGCAAGUCGAACGGAGUAUUAUGAAGUUUUCGGACAGAUUAAUACUUAGUGGCGGACGGGUGAGUAACGCGUGGGUAACCUGCCUCAUACAGGGGGAUAACAGCCGGAAACGGUUGCUAAAACCGCAUAAUAUGCGGACAUCGCAUGGUGUCCACAUCAAAUAUUUAUAGGUAUGAGAUGGGCCCGCGUCUGAUUAGCUAGUUGGUGAGGUAAUGGCCCACCAAGGCGACGAUCAGUAGCCGGCUUGAGAGAGUGACCGGCCACAUUGGGACUGAGACACGGCCCAAACUCCUACGGGAGGCAGCAGUGGGGAAUAUUGCACAAUGGGGGAAACCCUGAUGCAGCGACGCCGCGUGAGUGAAGAAGUAUUUCGGUAUGUAAAGCUCUAUCAGCAGGGAAGAAAAUGACGGUACCUGACUAAGAAGCCCCGGCUAACUACGUGCCAGCAGCCGCGGUAAUACGUAGGGGGCAAGCGUUAUCCGGAUUUACUGGGUGUAAAGGGAGCGUAGGUGGUUCGGCAAGUCAGAUGUGAAAGCCCGGGGCUCAACCCCGGGACUGCAUUUGAAACUGCCGUACUAGAGUGCAGGAGAGGUAAGUGGAAUUCCUAGUGUAGCGGUGAAAUGCGUAGAUAUUAGGAGGAACACCAGUGGCGAAGGCGGCUUACUGGACUGUAACUGACACUGAGGCUCGAAAGCGUGGGGAGCAAACAGGAUUAGAUACCCUGGUAGUCCACGCGGUAAACGAUGAAUACUAGGUGUCGNNNGUCAA
This 817-nucleotide ribosomal RNA is filed under the name bacterium enrichment culture clone 4-17. RNAcentral describes it as "bacterial SSU rRNA". It matches the Rfam family "Bacterial small subunit ribosomal RNA", at positions 1 to 833 of the family's 1533-position model. The record is from RNAcentral.